Molecule: unclassified non-coding RNA, 60 nt
Filed under: Vibrio cholerae
Lineage: Bacteria; Pseudomonadati; Pseudomonadota; Gammaproteobacteria; Vibrionales; Vibrionaceae
Description: CRISPR RNA (60-MER) from Vibrio cholerae (PDB 6LNB, chain M)
Source: RNAcentral
CUGAUAACUUCACGGCGGGCUUGAUGUCCGCGUCUACCUGGUGAACUGCCGAGUAGGUAG